Molecule: ribosomal RNA, 220 nt
Filed under: uncultured bacterium
Lineage: Bacteria
Description: partial 16S ribosomal RNA
Rfam family: Bacterial small subunit ribosomal RNA
Source: RNAcentral
UACGAAGGGGGCUAGCGUUGUUCGGAUUUACUGGGCGUAAAGCGCACGUAGGCGGAUCGUUAAGUCGGGGGUGAAAUCCUGGAGCUCAACUCCAGAACUGCCUUCGAUACUGGCGAUCUUGAGUCCGGAAGAGGUGAGUGGAACUCCUAGGUGUAGAGGUGGAAUUCGUAGAUAUUAGGAAGAACACCAGUGGCGAAGGCGGACUCACGUGGUCCGGUUA